AUCUACGGCCAUGCUGCCCUGAACGCGCCCAAUCCCAUCUGAUCUCAGAAGUUAAGCAAGGUUGGGCCUGGUUAGUGCUUGGAUGGGAGACCACUUGGUAAUACCGGGUGCUGUAGGAA
Molecule: ribosomal RNA, 119 nt
Filed under: Pteropus alecto (black flying fox)
Lineage: Eukaryota; Metazoa; Chordata; Mammalia; Chiroptera; Pteropodidae
Source: RNAcentral